UCACCGGGUAAACAUUCAUCUAA
Molecule: microRNA, 23 nt
Filed under: Octopus vulgaris (common octopus)
Lineage: Eukaryota; Metazoa; Mollusca; Cephalopoda; Octopoda; Octopodidae
Also listed under: 1 other name
Source: RNAcentral